This 372-nucleotide ribosomal RNA is filed under the name uncultured organism. Its description in RNAcentral is "partial 16S ribosomal RNA". It matches the Rfam family "Bacterial small subunit ribosomal RNA", at positions 527 to 896 of the family's 1533-position model. The record is from RNAcentral.
GUAGGUGGCAAGCGUUGUCCGGAAUUAUUGGGCGUAAAGCGCGCGCAGGCGGUUCUUUAAGUCUGAUGUGAAAGCCCACGGCUCAACCGUGGAGGGUCAUUGGAAACUGGUGGACUUGAGUACAGAAGAGGAAAGCGGAAUUCCAAGUGUAGCGGUGAAAUGCGUAGAGAUUUGGAGGAACACCAGUGGCGAAGGCGGCUUUCUGGUCUGUAACUGACGCUGAGGCGCGAAAGCGUGGGGAGCAAACAGGGAUUAGAUACCCUGGUAGUCCACGCCGUAAACGAUGAGUGCUAAGUGUUAGGGGGUUUCCGCCCCCUUAGUGCUGCAGCUAACGCAUUAAGCACUCCGCCUGGGGAUACGGCCGCAAGGCUG